Molecule: microRNA precursor, 138 nt
Filed under: Chlorocebus sabaeus (green monkey)
Lineage: Eukaryota; Metazoa; Chordata; Mammalia; Primates; Cercopithecidae
Description: miRNA (ENSCSAG00000021965.1)
Source: RNAcentral
CCCGAAGAUGUCGAUGCGGUCGGGCGGGGACGAGGCGCGCUCCCGGUCCCGCUCGCGCCGGGACACGGCCGUGUUGGUGGAGCGCGAGCGGGACCGCGACUCCCGCCGCCGGUUCCGUUUACUUUCCCGAGAUUUGGA